AAACCAACAGGGAUUACCUCAGUAACGGCGAGUGAAGCGGUAAGAGCUCAAAUUUGAAAGCUGGCUCCUUCGGGGUCCGCAUUGUAAUUUGCAGAGGAUGUUUCGGGAGCAGCCCCCAUCUAAGUGUCCUGGAACGGACCGUCAUAGAGGGUGAGAAUCCCGUAUGGGAUGGGGUGUCUGCGCCCAUGUGAAACUCCUUCGACGAGUCGAGUUGUUUGGGAAUGCAGCUCUAAAUGGGUGGUAAAUUUCAUCUAAAGCUAAAUAUUGGCCGGAGACCGAUAGCGCACAAGUAGAGUGAUCGAAAGAUGAAAAGCACUUUGAAAAGAGAGUUAAAAAGCACGUGAAAUUGUUGAAAGGGAAGCGCUUGCGAUCAGACUCGCCUUGGGGGUUCAGCCGGCAUUCGUGCCGGUGUACUUCCCCCAGGGCGGGCCAGCGUCGGUUUGGGUGGCCGGUCAAAGGCCCUUGGAAUGUAACGCCUCUCGGGGCGUCUUAUAGCCAAGGGUGCCAUGCGGCCUACCUGGACCGAGGAACGCGCUUCGGCUCGGACGCUGGCAUAAUGGUCGUAAGCGAC
This 571-nucleotide ribosomal RNA is filed under the name Penicillium glabrum. RNAcentral describes it as "LSU rRNA". It matches the Rfam family "Eukaryotic large subunit ribosomal RNA", at positions 62 to 648 of the family's 3401-position model. The record is from RNAcentral. Lineage: Eukaryota; Fungi; Ascomycota; Eurotiomycetes; Eurotiales; Aspergillaceae. RNAcentral also lists the same sequence under 1 other name.